This 439-nucleotide ribosomal RNA is filed under the name uncultured Ammoniphilus sp. Its description in RNAcentral is "bacterial SSU rRNA". It matches the Rfam family "Bacterial small subunit ribosomal RNA", at positions 338 to 794 of the family's 1533-position model. Lineage: Bacteria; Bacillati; Bacillota; Bacilli; Caryophanales; Paenibacillaceae. The record is from RNAcentral.
CCUACGGGAGGCAGCAGUGGGGAAUAUUGGACAAUGGGCGCAAGCCUGAUCCAGCCAUGCCGCGUGAGUGAUGAAGGCCCUAGGGUUGUAAAGCUCUUUCAGUGGGGACGAUAAUGACGGUACCCACAGAAGAAGCCCCGGCUAACUUCGUGCCAGCAGCCGCGGUAAUACGAAGGGGGCUAGCGUUGUUCGGAAUUACUGGGCGUAAAGCGCACGUAGGCGGACAUUUAAGUCAGGGGUGAAAUCCCGGGGCUCAACCCCGGAACUGCCUCUGAUACUGGGUGUCUUGAGUGUGGUAGAGGUGAGUGGAAUUGCGAGUGUAGAGGUGAAAUUCGUAGAUAUUCGCAGGAACACCAGUGGCGAAGGCGGCUCACUGGACCACAACUGACGCUGAGGUGCGAAAGCGUGGGGAGCAAACAGGAUUAGAUACCCCUGUAGU